AACGCUAGCUACAGGCUUAACACAUGCAAGUCGAGGGGCGGCAUGAAGUUUGCUUGCAAACUUUGAUGGCGACCGGCGCACGGGUGAGUAACGCGUAUCCAACCUGCCCCCUACCCGGGAAUAGCCCAGCGAAAGCUGGAUUAAUGCCCGAUGCAUUCCUUUGAGAGCAUUCGACGAGGAAUAAAGGAUUCCGGUAGGGGAUGGGGAUGCGUCUGAUUAGGUAGAUGGCGGGGUAACGGCCCACCAUGCCUACGAUCAGUAGGGGUUCUGAGAGGAAGGUCCCCCACAUUGGAACUGAGACACGGUCCAAACUCCUACGGGAGGCAGCAGUGAGGAAUAUUGGUCAAUGGGCGCGAGCCUGAACCAGCCAAGUAGCGUGCAGGAUGACGGCCCUAUGGGUUGUAAACUGCUUUUAUGCGGGGAUAAAGUGAGGGACGCGUCCCUUUUUGCAGGUACCGCAUGAAUAAGGACCGGCUAAUUCCGUGCCAGCAGCCGCGGUAAUACGGAAGGUCCGGGCGUUAUCCGGAUUUAUUGGGUUUAAAGGGAGCGUAGGCCGGCUUUUAAGCGUGUUGUGAAAUGCCGCGGCUCAACCGUGGCACUGCAGCGCGAACUGGAGGCCUUGAGUGCGCGGGAGGUAGGCGGAAUUCGUGGUGUAGCGGUGAAAUGCUUAGAUAUCACGAAGAACUCCGAUUG
This 693-nucleotide ribosomal RNA is filed under the name uncultured bacterium. RNAcentral's name for it is "bacterial SSU rRNA". It matches the Rfam family "Bacterial small subunit ribosomal RNA", at positions 32 to 715 of the family's 1533-position model. The record is from RNAcentral.